Molecule: long non-coding RNA, 4398 nt
Filed under: Nicotiana tabacum (common tobacco)
Lineage: Eukaryota; Viridiplantae; Streptophyta; Magnoliopsida; Solanales; Solanaceae
Description: long non-coding RNA (NTAB_LNC006400)
Source: RNAcentral
CUCUCUUCUCUCUCUUCGCUCUUCCACUAACGGUCACCAUCCACCUACCCGCCAGUGCUCGCACCACCACCGGCGGCCGCCGAAAAAUACAGGUAAUUAACCCUACACUCUUUUUUUCUCUCUCUCAUCCUUUCUUCCGCCCUCCUUCCCCUGUUCCUCUUUUCCGUCCUCACUGCCUUUCUGCCCCAAACCCAAAGCCGCUUGUGUUUCUUCCUCUCCCUCUCUCUUUUUCCAUCUUUUGUCUUCCCCACCCUAUCUCCCUUGUUCUCCAUCUGUUUUUUCCCUCUUUCCCGUCCUUUUAAGAAAAUCACCGCCACUCAGAUCUGAGCCGAGGAGCAUCGCCGCUGCUCUCCAUAUCUUAUCCUUCAAGUGUGGCAGGUUAUCAAAUUGCUGGCGAAUAUCAGCAAAGAGGCGAGUGGAACACUCGUGCUAGCAAAGAAUAGCAAAUAACAGCGGCCGCAGAGGCUUGUGGGAGUGCGUAGAAGGUCAGUAUUAUAGCAACGCCUCGACAUCCAAUUGGUGAUCCAGGUUCUAUCCACCCAGAGUUGGUACAUCCGGAUCUCCUGUCUCCUUUUGUCUUUCAUUCUUGCGAGUUGCAGAAUUGCUUUAAUUAACAGUAUAUAUUUGUUUGUUUUUAGUUUCGCGCAUUAGUCCUAGUGGAGUACUUAUCUGCUUGCUUGUAGUAUCGACGGGGUGUCUUAGUUUAAAUAUUUUACAUUGCAUACUAGCUUGUCGUUGCUUUAUUCUUAGUGUGUUCUUGUUUUAUUACAUUCUGUGCACCUGUUAUUUUAUUGUUAAAUCUUAUUACUAAUACAUUUCGUUCACCUGUUACUUUGCUAUUAAUCUAUUUAUCUCAAUAGUAUCUUUCGGGUACUUAAUCUCACAUACCUUGCUGCUACUAUCAUUCCUAGUUUAAUAGUCCUACUUCUGUGCCUUUUAGCUUAUUAGUUUGCCGUUUCUUCCAUGGUAGUUCCUGCUUAGAAUGUAUUAGAUUAUAAUGGUUGUACUAAACGAUGGCAGGGUAAGGUCAAGUCCUCGGGGGGAGGGAGGGGGGUCCUCAGGGGGGUGGAGGGGUAGGGGAAAGUGGGUAAGGAUAGUAAGGAUGCCUCGAGUUUGCGAGUUGGGUCUUGGAUUAUGGGGACUUUGACGAGAAAUUCUGCAGAGUUAUCGAAGAUUUUUCAUAAGAGGAAGAUAAAUAUAGCUUGUUUGCAUAAGACUAGAUGGGUGAGAGAUAUGGUACGGAAUGUAGAUAGGUUUAAGUUUUGGUACUCUGGAUACAUGGGGGGCAAGAACGGGGUAGGUAUUUUGGUUGAUAGGGAUCUUCGGGAGCUAGUGGUGGAGGUUAGGAGGGUGAACGACAGGUUGAUGAGUAAGCUAGUUGUUUGGGGUUUUAGUCUAAACGUGAUUAGUACGUACGCAUCUCAAGUGGGCUUGGACGAGGAGGUCAAAAGAUGUUUUUGAGAGGAUUUUGAUGAGGUUGUACGUGGUAUUUCGCACACUGAGAAGAUUUUCUUAAGAGGAGAUUUUAAUGGCCACAUUAGGGCGAUGUGAGGAGGCUACGAUGAUGUGUAUGGCAGUUUUGGUUUCGAAGUUAGAAACAAAGGUGGUACGACCCUACUGGAUUUUGCUAAGGCUUUUGAUUUGGUGAUAGCUAACUCUAGUUUCCCGAAGAAGGAGGUGCAUUUGGUCACCUUUCAGAGUUCGGUGACCAGGACCCAGAUUGAUUAUCUACUUUUUAGGAUAACUGAUAAAGGUAUGUGCGGGGACUGUAAGGUCAUCCCGAGUAAGAACCUCACGACUCAGCAAAAGGCUUAUGGUCAUGGACUUGGAGAUCAUGAGGAAGCGAAGAAAAAGGGCUGUGUUUGGUUUACCUAGGAUCAAGCGGGUAGCUUUGACAAAAGUUAGAGCACAUGAGUUGGGGAGAUAAGUUAUUGGCUAUAGUAUCAUGGAGGAGGAGUGCGGACGCGAGUAGUAUAUGGACCGCGACUGCAAAUUGCAUUAGGGAGGCUGCUACUGCUAGAGAGGAAUUGGGGGUCUCGAAGGGCUCAUCUAGCCAUAAAGGGGAUUGGUGGUAGAGUAUUGAGAUUCAAGGUAAAGUGGAGGCCAAUAAAGCGGCAUAUCUGAAGCUUCUGGAGAGCGUGGACGAGGAGGCGAAGAGGACGAAUAGGGAGCAGUAUAGGAUGGCUAAGAAGAAAGCGAAGUUAGCAGUUACUGCGACCAAGACUAUUGUGUUUGACAUUUGUAUGAAGAACUCAGAGGUAGAGGAGGGGAUAAGAAGUUGUACAGGCUAGCCAAGGUGCGAGAAAGGAAGGCCGGUGACUGGACCAAGUGAAAUGCAUCAAGGACAAGGACGGCAAAGUUUUUUUCGAUGUGGCACUUAUUCGACGUAGAUGGUAGACUAACUUCCAUAAACUCUUAACGACGAGGGGAUAGGAACAUUGAGCUAAGCGACUUAGAACACUUUGAGUGUUAUCGGGACUUUGGUUAUUGUAGGCGUAUAAGAGUCGAGAAGGUUGAGGGGGCUAUGCUUAAGAUGGGCAGGGGGAGUGUGACCGGCCCUGAAGAGAUCCCGGUAAAAUUUUGGAAGAGUAUGGUUAGGUGCAAUGGUAUAUGUUAUUAGCGUAUGACAUUGUUCUGGUAGACGGUACGUGAGGUAGUAUUACCGAGAGGUUAGAGAUUUAGAGGCAGACCCUGGAGUCUAAAGGUUUAAAGUGCAAGUUUAGUGGGACAACUCAGGUUGUGGACGAAGAAGUGAGGCUUGACUUCCAAGUCAUCCCUAGGAGAGAGAGUUUUAAAUACCUUGGGUAUAUAUAUAUAUAUAUAUAUAUAUAUAUAUAUAUAUAUAUAUAUAUAUAUAUAUAUACUACUACUACUAUAUACUACUAUAUANNNNNNNNNNNNNNNNNNAAUACAUAUUUUAAUCCUACAUUACGUACAAUUAGUAUAUUAUGUAUAUUAAUCCCUGUAAUAUCACUUAUAUAAUCCUUAUAUACAUUAAAUGCAUUAAUAUCAUAAAUCUAUAUAUGCAUAACUUAUCUCUAAAUCAAAUCGUCCAUAAAGGUAAUUCUUUAGGCAUCUGAAUACCAACAUUAAUUAUGAGAUAGUAUAAAGAUCAGCCAUGCAUUUUAAAGAAUCAAAGUAUAAUUCUUAAAAGGGGUGUGCGUACCCUCUGUUAGCAAAUGAUGAUCUCUUCUUGAACGGUAGAGGACUACUUGCUUCAAUAGUCACUUGAGUAUUUUGACUCUUUAUUCCGCAGCUAAUAGCUAAAUCAAGAAAAUUAUUAUUUUUCUAACUCACUCAUAAAUCAAACUACAGAAUACUACUAGUAAUAUUUAACACAUCCAAUAUUAUCAAGAAAAAUUAAGCUUUAAUUCCUCUUCUCCCUUCAUUGUCUUGAGUUCUUUUUUCAAUAUACUAAUGAGGGAAGUUGGAGAAAGUCAUGAGUGGCUCUAGGGUAAGGCCACUAAAGCUUAUGCUUUAGGCCCCCAAGAGUCAAAAGGCGCCCCAAAAUCUUUUCUAUUAAUUAUAAUUAUUUAUAUUAGUGAGAUUUUUUUUAAGUUAACAAAACAUUAACAUUUUGUUUUAAUACACUAAGUUGGUUCUCGUUAUCAAAUAUGUUAUUAGUAAAUAUGAAUAUUUGAAUAAUUUAACUCAAAAAUUUAAAAUAUUAGACAAUGUUAUACUGUGAAAUACUUAAAAGAAAACUUAAAACCUUUGAAAAAAAAUUUGUUAAGACUAUACAGUUUUUUCUUAGUUAUCUAAAUUAAUCGUGUCUAUUUGUCCAACCGUUGUCACAUUACUAAUGUUAUUUCCUCGCAUAUUCUUAAGUUUUGGCUUUAGACCUCCGAUUUUAUUGAGCUGACCCUGAGAAAGUUACAAGAAAGUAUGGUAAAAAGAAAAUUGGAAUCACAUAUCAUGAGUCAUGAAUAAGCAAAAUUAAUAGCUUCGCUAUAGAGGUCCUGGGUUUUCUUGUGAAAUUCUGAGAUAAGCAAUGCCGAAGUUCUUUUAUUCUCUUCUUCUUCUUUUCCAGAUUCUGAGUUCAUCUUUGCGUUUAUCUUGAUCAGACAUUUUGAUGAGUUUCUUGAUAAAUCCGGGUUGAAGAAGUUCUUAUGAAUUAGAUGAUGAAGAAAUGAAGACGCAUAGAACAAGAAAGAAAGAAAGAGAGAGAGAGAGAGAGAGAAAUGGAACUGUUAUUUGUACGAAUAUUUAUAAGUAGUGGAGUAACUACUUUUCGUGGACGGUAGUAGUAUUUGAUUGCGUGCUGCAUUAUGAACUUAUGAUCACUUAUUUAUAAUUUUUAUUUUCUUUUUCUUCUUCUUUUUAUUUUUAUUGGUUUAUUUGUAGUUUUAUUUUAAACUCAUAUAGAACAAAAGAAGUUCAGCGAUAGUAAGAUUUCUU